GACGAACGCUGGCGGCGUGCUUAACACAUGCAAGUCGAACGGAAAGGCCCUGCUUUUGUGGGUGGCUCGAGUGGCAAACGGGUGAGUAACACGUGAGUAACCUGCCCUGGACUUUGGGAUAACUUCAGGAAACUGGGGCUAAUACCGGAUAGGAGCUCCUGCUGCAUGGUGGGGGUUGGAAAGUUUCGGCGGUUGGGGAUGGACUCGCGGCUUAUCAGCUUGUUGGUGGGGUAGUGGCUUACCAAGGCUUUGACGGGUAGCCGGCCUGAGAGGGUGACCGGCCACAUUGGGACUGAGAUACGGCCCAGACUCCUACGGGAGGCAGCAGUGGGGAAUAUUGCACAAUGGGCGGAAGCCUGAUGCAGCAACGCCGCGUGCGGGAUGACGGCCUUCGGGUUGUAAACCGCUUUCGCCUGUGACGAAGCGUGAGUGACGGUAAUGGGUAAAGAAGCACCGGCUAACUACGUG
Molecule: ribosomal RNA, 468 nt
Filed under: uncultured bacterium
Lineage: Bacteria
Description: partial 16S ribosomal RNA
Rfam family: Bacterial small subunit ribosomal RNA
Source: RNAcentral